CUGAGACACGGUCCAAACUCCUACGGGAGGCAGCAGUGGGGAAUAUUGCACAAUGGGGGAAACCCUGAUGCAGCAACGCCGCGUGAAGGAAGAAGGUCUUCGGACCGUAAACUUUCUGUCCUAGAGGAAGAUAAUGACGGUACUCUUGGAGGAAGCCCCCGGCUAACUACGUGCCAGCAGCCGCGGUAAUACGUAGGGGGCAAGCGUUAUCCGGAAUUAUUGGGCGUAAAGAGUGCGUAGGUGGUUACCUAAGCAGGGGGUGAAAGGCACUGGCUUAACCAGUGUCAGCCCCCUGAACUGGGCUACUUGAGUGCAGGAGAGGAAAGUGGAAUUCCUAGUGUAGCGGUGAAAUGCGUAGAUAUUAGGAGGAACACCAGUGGCGAAGGCGACUUUCUGGACUGUUACUGACACUGAGGCACGAAAGUGUGGGGAGCAAACAGGAUUAGAUACCCUGGUAGUCCACACCGUAAACGAUGAGCACUAGGUGCCGGGGGAGCAAUUUCUCGGUGCCGCAGUUAACGCAUUAAGUGCUCCGCCUGGGGAGUACGUACGCAAGUAUGAAACUCAAAGGAAUUGACGGGGACCCGCACAAGCAGCGGAGCAUGUGGUUUAAUUCGAAGCAACGCGAAGAACCUUACCAGGUCUUGACAUCCCUCUGAAACUCCUGAUAACGAUGGAGCCUCCUUCGGGACAGAGGAGACAGGUGGUGCAUGGUUGUCGUCAGCUCGUGUCGUGAGAUGUUGGGUUAAGUCCCGCAACGAGCGCAACCCUUGCCGAUAGUUGCCAUCAUUAAGUUGGGCACUCUAUCGGGACUGCCGGGGACAACUCGGAGGAAGGUGGGGAUGACGUCAAAUCAUCAUGCCCCUUAUGAUCUGGGCUACACACGUGCUACAAUGGUCGGUACAAAAGGCAGCAAACCUGUGAGGGGGAGCAAAUCCCAAAAACCGAUCCCAGUUCGGACUGUAGGCUGCAACUCGCCUACACGAAGUCGGAGUUGCUAGUAAUCGUGGAUCAGAAUGCCACGGUGAAUGCGUUCCCGGGUCUUGUACACACCGCCCGUCACACCACGGAAGUUGGGGGUGCCCGAAGUUGGCAGGCAAAUAUGUUACCUAAGGCAAAACCGAUGACUGGGGUGAAGUCGU
RNAcentral lists this ribosomal RNA (1142 nucleotides) under uncultured bacterium. RNAcentral's name for it is "bacterial SSU rRNA". It matches the Rfam family "Bacterial small subunit ribosomal RNA", at positions 319 to 1489 of the family's 1533-position model. The record is from RNAcentral.